Molecule: long non-coding RNA, 3703 nt
Organism: Harmonia axyridis
Lineage: Eukaryota; Metazoa; Arthropoda; Insecta; Coleoptera; Coccinellidae
Exons: 9
Source: RefSeq, a predicted model, not a curated record
CGCGUGUCGGCCAUAUUCAGAUACACUUCUGAUCAUCAGUUAUGGGACGUUAUGCUCCUUCCUCUGAGUUUGAAAUAAUUCUCAACAGCUAGGCUCAGUCUGGAAUCUGGAUAACGAUACGUAUUUACCCAAAUUGCACGGAAUCUUAUUAAGAACUACUUACAAAAUGAAUAAUAGAAUUACUAGAAAAUAAUAACUAGUGGAUAAUGUUCCUGAUCUUUAUCUGAAUAAUUCUUAUUCGGAUCUUGUACUUAUGUGCUUGAAGAUUAGAGAAAUACAUCAGCAGAUUCUCAAUUUUUGGACCAUGAAUCACAAUGAGAUUUCUAGGCGAUAGUGAAACACUCUUUCUUUAGAAAUCCAAACUACUACUGCCACAAACAGAAAAGGAAAAUACAUAAUUGGUGGAUGCAUUAAUAACAAUAAAUUACUUCAUUGAGCUUGGAAUUGGUCAUAAACCUGACUCACUUCAGCCUAUAGAUGAAUUAUCUACAUAGAUGACAGUUAUGGAGAACACUUUUUUUGGAGAAUGUAGUCACCCUUAAUGAAUAGGGACUUCAGCAGUUUGCGGUCUGCAGCAAUGUUUUUCAAUAGACACCUACCAAACUCAUCACAAAAAGCUUUUUUGUAUAGAAGAUUGAUUGAAUGCAUUUCAAGAGCAAAUUACAGAAUUAGUAGAUUCAUUAAUGAAAAUAACUGCCUUCAUUGACCUGGCAAUUGGUCAUAAACCUGAGUCCCUUUAGCCAAUAGAUGAAUUAUUUACAUAGAUGACACUCAUGGAAAACAAAUUUUGUCACAUUUGAUUGAAUGUUGUCACCCUUAAUGAAUAGGAGUGAAUAACAUAAUUGGUGAAUGCGCUAAUGAGAAUGACUGCCAUCAUUGAGCUACAAUUGGUCAUAAACCUGAAUCCCUUCAGCCUCGAGAUGAAUUAUUUACAUAGAUGACACCUGGACAAUGGACCUAUUGGAAUGUUGCCACCCUCAAUGAAUAGGAGUAAAUAACAUAAUGGGUGGAAGCUCUAAUGACAAUAACUGCCUUCAUUGAGCUGCAAUUGGUCCCAAACCUGACUCCCUUCAGCCUAUAGAUGGAUUAAUACAUAGAUGACACUUAUGGAGAACGCUCUUUUUAGAAUGUUGUUACCCUCAAUGAAUAGGAGUAAAUUACUUAAUUGGUGGAAGCUCUAAUAAUAAUAACUGCCUUCAUUGAGCUGUAAUUGGUACUAAACCUGACUCUCUUCAGCCUAUAGAUAAAUUAAUACAUAGAUGACACUUAUGGAGAACACUUUUUUUUUAGAAUGUUGUCACCAUCAAUGAAUGGGAUAGACUUCAGUAGUUUGAGGUAGGCACAGCAAUGUUUUUCGAUAGAUACCUACCAAACCACAAAGAGCUUUUUUGUACUAGAAUAUUGUUUGAAUGCAUUUCAGGAGUAAAUUAGAUAAUAGGCUGUGAUGAUAAUAACUGAUAUCUAUUUCUAGAUGUUCCCUUUUUUGCAUGAAUUCUUCCAUUCUUUUAGGCCUUUUCCAGUAGAUACUUCUUUAAGUGACUUUUCAGGGUUCUUCUUGUUAGUUGCCUGAAACCUUGAGGUAAAUUUUUAGAAUAGUUUUGAAAGAUUUCGAGGUCGUAUAUUCUGGAUUGGGUAUCAAAACCGACUGCAGGUAGCUGAGGUGGCUUCUCAGUAUGAACAUUUCUUUAUGAUGUCAAAUUUUGAAUUUUUUCUCCAAAAUCUUUCAGGAAACACUAAUGGCGGAUAGGUGUGGAAAAUCGAAGAUUCUUCGUAAUAUCAAAAUUUGUAGCUGAACUAAGCAGAAACUCUUUUCGUAAAGCAUUACAAAAUAUUCCAUACAUUUUAUAAGCAGAUGCACUUACCAAAUUAUAUUUCUAGGAUUCAACUAUGUGGCGCCAUCUAGGAAAAGUAGCUCCAACCAAUCGUUUGUAGAGGCCUAACGUCAUAGGAUCCUAUUCGUGUUUUGCUGCGCAAAUUAUAAGUUCAGAGAAUUGAAUAUAGAUGAUAUGGAGGCCAAAUCUUUACUGAAUUGAAUUUUUGGAAUUGUAAAGAAAAACUGAAAUAAUUGAUGUGUCGUCACUUCUAUAUUAGGUCUGAGGGUAUACACCUAUGUAAACUGUAAAUUAGUUUUCUCUAGACCAUAAUGUUCAAGGUUCAUCGGUAGAAAAAUUGUCUGAUGGAACCCUCUUGAAAAUUUUACCACAAAACUCGGAAAAGAUAUCUCCUAAAAGGAAAGAGAUUGAAGAUUUGUUUUCGGCUUGGUCAAAUGCUCCUUCUAAUGAAUUGUGUCACACACAUAUUUAACUUCUAAGGUGUUAAUGAAAUUUGCUAUGAAAAAGGAGUUCCUGUUUAUUUUGUGAAUAUAAUAAGUAUAUAAUUCCCUAUUCUUUGAGGGGAAAAUAUUUAAAAAAAGAGGUGAUUUCCAUAAGUGGCAUUUAUGUAAAUAAUGCAUCUAUAGGCGGAAGGGACUCAGUCACUUAAUUAUUUUUGCAAAGCAGGUUUUUUAAUACGAAUAUGUAAUCAAUAAUAUGUAUAUAAUUACCUAUUCAUUGAGGGGGGCAACAUACCAUAGGUGUCAUAUUACCUAUUAAUUUAGAAUGAUAUUAUUUGACAAUAAAAAUUGAUUUCCCUCAGUAUCAUCUAUGUGAAUAAUUCAUCUAGAGGCUGAAGGAAGUCAAGUUUAUGACGAAUUGUAGCUCAAUGAAGGCAGUUAUUCUGUAAUUUUUUCGUCCACUUGGGCACUGCUGAACGCUCAAAUAAGGUUGAAAGCCUCAGCUCUUCCAUUAUGCCGGAAAGAUCGACACCACGCUCCGGAUAUAUGCCUGUCUUCCUAUAUACGACGUAUUUCAGGAACUUCCUCUGAACUCGCUCAGUGGGAGUAAGAUGCGUUGCAUAAAUUGGGAACCAAAUCAUGUUAGCGUACUCCAACCUACUGAGAACAAGUGAAAAGUAGACAUUUCUGAGAGCAGACAGAUCGUCUAGCUCACGGAAGCUCCUGAACAGGAAACCCAAAGACUUACAGGCAGAUGAACACAGAUCCUCAACAUGUGGAACAAAACUCAGCUCACUGUCAAACCAAACUCCCAGGUCACGAAAACGAUCUCCAGCCGCAAUAAAAUCACCACCAAUGUGAUAAUCGAAAGCUAACUUUAAAACACUUCUUCAAAUUUAAAAUAAGUCCAUUCCGCAAGCACCAACCUUGAACCAACUCCAAACUUGACUGAAGAAGUAAUUGGUCAUUAAUUCCAUUUAUUCUCAUGAACAGCCUCAGAUCAUCAGCAUAGGCAAGAGCCUCACAAUUGAGAGAGCAUAAAAGGUCAUCAAUGAAUAUUAAAAACAUAAUGAAAUAAGCGAACCUUUACUUGAUAAAGUGAUUCUCAAGAUCAGUCAGCAUGAAGGAUGUUUUGCAACCAGUAUGUAAAACAGAAGAAUCUUUGCGUCGAUUGAAAAGCAGAAAUAUCUCAUCCUUGGAGGAGCCUUCAUCGUCUACAUCAGAAACAAUGACUGAUGAGAUGAAGAUUCGAGAACAAAUCAUAUUAGACAUCAAAUACUUCGUUUCAAAGCUACGACCAGUUACAUAGUCAAUUGAUGGCGAAGAUGCUUCAAAUCAGCUUGAAAAGAAUAUUUCUAUUUAAUAUAAUAGAUUCUAUUGUUAAUAUAUUUCUUGUUGUUAUGUUGAUAAAAUAAAUAUUUUAAUACUGCU